UGGGGGAUAUUGCACAAUGGAGGAAACUCUGAUGCAGCAACGCCGCGUGAGGGAAGAAGGUCUUCGGAUUGUAAACCUAAGUAGUCAGGGACGAAAGAAAUGACGGUACCUGAAGAGUAAGCUCCGGCUAACUACGUGCCAGCAGCCGCGGUAAUACGUAGGGAGCGAGCGUUGUCCGGAUUUACUGGGUGUAAAGGGUGCGUAGGCGGGCUUGCAAGUCAGACGUGAAAUACCGGGGCUUAACUCCGGGGCUGCGUUUGAAGCUGCAGGUCUUGAGUGAAGUAGAGGCAGGCGGAAUUCCUAGUGUAGCGGUGAAAUGCGUAGAUAUUAGGAGGAACACCAGUGGCGAAGGCGGCUUACUGGACGGUAACUGACGUUGAGGCUCGAAAGCGUGGGGAGCAAACAGGAUUAGAUACCC
This 418-nucleotide ribosomal RNA is filed under the name uncultured bacterium. Its description in RNAcentral is "bacterial SSU rRNA". It matches the Rfam family "Bacterial small subunit ribosomal RNA", at positions 355 to 787 of the family's 1533-position model. The record is from RNAcentral.